CCAGCACCUGCUGUACCAAUGGCCCAGAGUCGCCAUCUUGUGCUGAGGACCCAACGCCGCCAUCUUGUGCCAAGGGCCCAGAGCCACCAUCUUGUGCCAAGGGCUGAGAGCCGCCAUCUUGUGCUGAGGACCCAACGCCGCCAUCUUGUGCCAAAGACCCAGAGCCGCCAUCUUGUUCCUGGACACCUGGCCUCAGGGCGGACUCCAUCCUGACACAGGGCUGGCGCCACAGCUUCAACAGAAGCAGUGGUGGAGCACUUCCACUCACCACUUCUGCAGCUCUUUGGCUGGGUGUGGGGAACAUAGCCCUGCCAGGUUCCACCACUGUACGAUGGACACAACUCAAGUUCCUGUGGUACAAUGCCAUCAAGGACAGCUUGUGGCAGCUCAGGGUCCUGCAGGGAGAGCCAGCUGCAGGCAACCACACACACUGCUGAACUGUGCUCUGCUCCUGAGCAGGCAGCUUGCAGGCAGCUCUGCCCUG
This 484-nucleotide long non-coding RNA is filed under the name Gallus gallus (chicken). Its description in RNAcentral is "long non-coding RNA NONGGAT009178". Lineage: Eukaryota; Metazoa; Chordata; Aves; Galliformes; Phasianidae. The record is from RNAcentral.